ACGAACGCUGGCGGCGUGCUUAACACAUGCAAGUCGAACGAUGAAGAAAAGAAUCGAAGCUUCGGCAGAAAUUCAUUUCGGAUUAGUGGCAGACGGGUGAGUAACGCGUGAGCAACCUACCUCUUACAAAGGGAUAGCCUCGGGAAACCGGGAUUAAUACCAUAUAACAUUGUGACGAGGCAUUUCGAUGCAAUCAAAGCUACGGCGGUAAGAGAUGGGCUCGCGUCCCAUUAACCGGAUGGUGAGGUAACGGCUCACCAUAGUGACGAUGGGUAACCGGCCUGAGAGGGUGAACGGUCACACUGGAACUGAGACACGGUCCAGACUCCUACGGGAGGCAGCAGUGGGGAAUAUUGCACAAUGGAGGGAACUCUGAUGCAGCGACGCCGCGUGAGUGAUGAAGGAAUUCGUUUCGUAAAACUCUGUUCUAUGGGAAGAAAAGGACUGUACCAUAGGAGAAAGCUCCGGCUAAAUACGUG
Molecule: ribosomal RNA, 479 nt
Filed under: uncultured bacterium
Lineage: Bacteria
Description: partial 16S ribosomal RNA
Rfam family: Bacterial small subunit ribosomal RNA
Source: RNAcentral